This is a non-coding RNA of Arachis ipaensis, 225 nucleotides long. Lineage: Eukaryota; Viridiplantae; Streptophyta; Magnoliopsida; Fabales; Fabaceae. The record is from RefSeq and is a predicted model, not a curated record.
UAACUACGAUCCCAUCCCACAAUCCUAACCGUAGCUACUCGAAUUUGUCAUCUAAGAGCACAAUGAUGGUGAUGACGCUGUUGGGAUUCUGGCGACUCCAAACGAGUGACGCUCUUUUGAACCUCAACAAUCUUGUUGACACAUUUUGAUCCGAGAUCUCAACUGGCGUCCACCUCAUGUAUUUUUGUCUCUUUCAUUUGAUGAAGAUCUUGGGAUGUCUGAGAA